AUUGAACGCUGGCGGCAUGCCUAACACAUGCAAGUCGAACGGAGGUAGGGGCAACUCUACUUCAGUGGCGGACGGGUGAGGAAUGCGUCGGAAUCUACCCUAUGGUGGGGGAUAACACAGGGAAACUUGUGCUAAUACCGCAUAAUGUCGAGAGACCAAAGCAGGGGACCGCAAGGCCUUGCGCGAUAGGAUGAGCCGACGCCCGAUUAGCUUGUUGGUAGGGUAAUGGCCUACCAAGGCGACGAUCGGUAGCUGGUCUGAGAGGACGACCAGCCACACUGGGACUGAGACACGGCCCAGACUCCUACGGGAGGCAGCAGUGGGGAAUUUUGGACAAUGGGCGAAAGCCUGAUCCAGCAAUGCCGCGUGCAGGAUGAAGGCCU
Molecule: ribosomal RNA, 383 nt
Filed under: uncultured bacterium
Lineage: Bacteria
Description: bacterial SSU rRNA
Rfam family: Bacterial small subunit ribosomal RNA
Source: RNAcentral